GGCCCUGUCGUCUAGUGGCCUAGGACGCCGGCCUCUCAAGCCGGUAACACGGGUUCGAAUCCCGUCAGGGCUG
RNAcentral lists this transfer RNA (73 nucleotides) under Actinobacteria bacterium RBG_16_70_17. Its description in RNAcentral is "tRNA-Glu". It matches the Rfam family "tRNA". From Rfam's summary of the family: Transfer RNA (tRNA) molecules are approximately 80 nucleotides in length. RNAcentral also lists the same sequence under 2 other names. Lineage: Bacteria; Bacillati; Actinomycetota. The record is from RNAcentral.